UACGUAGGGUGCGAGCGUUGUCCGGAAUUAUUGGGCGUAAAGGGCUCGUAGGCGGUUUGUCGCGUCGGGAGUGAAAUCCACUGGCUUAACUGGUGGCUUGCUUUCGAUACGGGCAGACUGGAGGUAUGCAGGGGAGAACGGAAUUCCUGGUGUAGCGGUGAAAUGCGCAGAUAUCAGGAGGAACACCGGUGGCGAAGGCGGUUCUCUGGGCAUUACCUGACGCUGAGGAGCGAAAGUGUGGGGAUCAAACAGG
This 253-nucleotide ribosomal RNA is filed under the name uncultured bacterium. Its description in RNAcentral is "partial 16S ribosomal RNA". It matches the Rfam family "Bacterial small subunit ribosomal RNA", at positions 524 to 776 of the family's 1533-position model. The record is from RNAcentral.